This 128-nucleotide small RNA is filed under the name Favella ehrenbergii. Its description in RNAcentral is "partial Betaproteobacteria transfer-messenger RNA". Lineage: Eukaryota; Ciliophora; Spirotrichea; Tintinnida; Xystonellidae. The record is from RNAcentral.
GCAGGCAGCAGGCUGAGUCGCGUAACGCGACCAGCGAUAACGAUACCACGAUACAAAAGCUGAGGAAAGAAAUGCGCGAUAGACGUAGCAAGCGCGGCUAAGACUGCUUCUAUCUCGUUAAGGAGGAG